Long non-coding RNA from Gasterosteus aculeatus aculeatus (three-spined stickleback), 1483 nucleotides. The record is from Ensembl. Lineage: Eukaryota; Metazoa; Chordata; Actinopteri; Perciformes; Gasterosteidae.
CCGAUACUUGGUUCACAGAGUGCUGCGUGUCGGCCCAGCAGGACAUCUGCUCGAAGAAGCUCCAGCUGUUCGGCAGCUGUUUGGUCCCCGCGAUCCUGCAGGUGUCGUGCAUGCAGCUCUUCCUGUGACCCAGAUGCAAAUUAUUUAAAGCAUAAACACUGUGAAAGUGGUGGAAUUGAAUUGAAUCUUCAAUGCAAAACAUUUAAGAGAUACAAGUAACAAUCAUUUUGGUUAAAAGUAAUAGUUUGACAUUUUGUGAAAUACAGUUGAAGGAGAGGACAGAUAAUAGAAUGAUAAUAGAAAUAGGAAUAAUAAGCCGCCUCUAUAAAGGUAACAAAGAAAACCAAAUACUCCUAAUGAGUAACACCUCACAUGUUUGCUCAACACAAAGCUUGAUGAGAAGAAUAUCCCACGACUGGUUUUGACCCUUUCAGGAGGGCCUCAAUGAAAGCAAAAUGCAACAAUUCUCAUAUGGUUCAGCUGACUAUAAAAGUUACUCAUAUAGUUUAUUUUAUUUUUGCCGAUAAGUCCUCUUAACUUCUCUUAAAGAGAAUACUCCGUGGAACAGUAAUGAUGAUCCAUACAAGAUGACAUACUGUGACACUCUUGACCCCUCUACUUUGCUGCUACUAAAAGGAAGUGAAAAAGUGUUCUGAAAUUCCCCCGGCUGGAUAAAUAAACCUGCACUUUCCUGUUGAAGCGCAUCGCUUAAGACAUCAGCUUCGCCUCACACAUGAGCUUCACGUAUACACUGGUCGGUGGUCGAUGUACCAACGCUGUCUGGUCUCUCAAAAAAAAAGAAGCUCCGAGGAACAGAACCAGAAGAGCGGCCGCUGAUGGGUCGCACUCCCAACGCGUUUACCUGGAUCUGCUUGAGAGUUGAUGACUUUUAGCACUCAGCUCCUCCUCUCAGUAAUGCUCGGGAAUCAAACCAUCAAGCUGAUUAGUGAAAUAUGAGUGCAAUACUCAAACCUGAGUAGAUAUAUCGGAUCUGUCAAACAUUGCCCGAGGGAUAAAAACAGGACAGGCGAGUUUUGGUUGGGUGUGACAAAAUGACAUUUUAGUGAAUUAUUGCAUUUUUAACUCAUAAAGUCAAAAGAGGCUGGGAAAAUACUCAGCAGCAGCCAUCCUGAUAUCCAGCCUACGGCGACAACCACUGUAAUCUCCUCUGUCCUCUCACAUGGCUCAUGAGAAAUGUUGCGCAGUAAAAGAUGUAGAGAGGCGUUGCUUUAAGUUGAACUCUGCAAACGUAUAUAAGGAGGGUUUGCUACAAACAGCCAUGCAGAGGAGCGUGUUUGACAGGAUCUGUGUGAUACUCUUAUUUUGGUGUCCGACCUACUGUAGCUUAUCUCUGCCUCCAAGUCAUGGUUUGUUUCAAAUCUUAAAUGCUGCAAUAAAGAGUAUAACAUUUGAUUUAUUUUUCAUAAAAUGUCUCAAUAAAUAUCAGAUGGAUUGCAAGGAAAUUGUAUCCCGGCCUUCACGG